CAGGAACCCGGUGCGAAUCCGGGACGGUCCCGCCACUGUGACCGCACGGACGGCGACGUCCGCGCGGGAGUCAGGAACUG
This 80-nucleotide non-coding RNA is filed under the name Streptomyces sp. The record is from RNAcentral. Lineage: Bacteria; Bacillati; Actinomycetota; Actinomycetes; Kitasatosporales; Streptomycetaceae.